The sequence is a regulatory RNA element, 94 nucleotides long. It matches the Rfam family "TPP riboswitch aptamer (THI element)". From Rfam's summary of the family: Vitamin B(1) in its active form thiamin pyrophosphate (TPP) is an essential coenzyme that is synthesised by coupling of pyrimidine and thiazole moieties in bacteria. The record is from Rfam.
GCUUCCUGUCGUGGGGUGGUCCUUUGGGCCUGAGAUUAUACCCGUUGAACCUGAUCUGGGUAAUGCCAGCGCAGGGAGCCUGAUGUGUCUCAUC